This 101-nucleotide transfer RNA is filed under the name Candidatus Bathyarchaeota archaeon. RNAcentral describes it as "tRNA-Gly". Lineage: Archaea; Thermoproteati; Candidatus Bathyarchaeota. The record is from RNAcentral.
GCGUCGUAGUCUAGCCUGGUUUAGGACAUUACUUAUCAAACAAAAGUGUCCAAUGGCCUUCCAAGCCAACAACCCGGGUUCAAAUCCCGGCGGCCGCACCA